AGAGUUUGAUCCUGGCUCAGAGCGAACGCUGGCGGCAGGCUUAACACAUGCAAGUCGARCGGGCGUAGCAAUACGUCAGYGGCAGACGGGUGAGUAACRCGUGGGAACGUACCUUUUGGUUCGGAACAACACAGGGAAACUUGUGCUAAUACCGGAUAAGCCCUUACGGGGAAAGAUUUAUCGCCGAAAGAUCGGCCCGCGUCUGAUUAGCUAGUUGGURRGGUAAYGGCYYACCAAGGCGACGAUCAGUAGCUGGUCUGAGAGGAUGAUCAGCCACAUUGGGACUGAGACACGGCCCAAACUCCUACGGGAGGCAGCAGUGGGGAAUAUUGGACAAUGGGGGCAACCCUGAUCCAGCCAUGCCGCGUGAGUGAUGAAGGCCCUAGGGUYGUAAAGCUCUUUUGUGCGGGAAGAUAAUGACGGUACCGCAAGAAUAAGCCCCGGCUAACUUCGUGCCAGCAGCCGCGGUAAUACGAAGGGGGCUAGCGUUGCUCGGAAUCACUGGGCGUAAAGGGUGCGUAGGCGGGUYUUUAAGUCAGRGGUGAAAUCCUGGAGCWCAACUCCAGAACUGCCUUUGAUACUGRRRAUCUUGAGUWYGGRAGAGGUGAGUGGAACUGCGAGUGUAGAGGUGAAAUUCGUAGAUAUUCGCAAGAACACCAGUGGCGAAGGCGGCUCACUGGYCCRWWACUGACGCUGAGGCACGAAAGCGUGGGGAGCAAACAGGAUUAGAUACCCUGGUAGUCC
This 744-nucleotide ribosomal RNA is filed under the name uncultured bacterium. RNAcentral's name for it is "partial 16S ribosomal RNA". It matches the Rfam family "Bacterial small subunit ribosomal RNA", at positions 8 to 796 of the family's 1533-position model. The record is from RNAcentral.